Molecule: ribosomal RNA, 253 nt
Filed under: uncultured bacterium
Lineage: Bacteria
Description: partial 16S ribosomal RNA
Rfam family: Bacterial small subunit ribosomal RNA
Source: RNAcentral
GACAGAGGGUGCAAGCGUUGUUCGGAAUUAUUGGGCGUAAAGCGCGCGUAGGCGGCCCACUAAGUCGAAUGUGAAAGCCCCGGGCUCAACCUGGGAAGUGCAUUCGAAACUGGUGGGCUAGAGUCCUGGAGAGGGUGGUGGAAUUCCCAGUGUAGAGGUGAAAUUCGUAGAUAUUGGGAGGAACAUCAGUGGCGAAGGCGACCACCUGGACGGAGACUGACGCUGAGGUGCGAAAGCGUGGGGAGCAAACAGG